GCAUAUCAAUAAGCGGAGGAAAAGAAACCACCAAGGGAUUGCCCUAGUAACGGCGAGUGAAGCGGCAACAGCUCAAAUUUGAAAUCUGGCUUCGGCCCGAGUUGUAAUUUGCAGAGGAAGCUUUAGGCGCGGCACCAUCUGAGUCCCCUGGAACGGGGCGCCACAGAGGGUGAGAGCCCCGUAUAGAUGGACGCCUAGCCUGUGUAAAGCUCCUUCGACGAGUCGAGUAGUUUGGGAAUGCUGCUCAAAAUGGGAGGUAAAUUUCUUCUAAAGCUAAAUAUUGGCCAGAGACCGAUAGCGCACAAGUAGAGUGAUCGAAAGAUGAAAAGCACUUUGAAAAGAGGGUUAAAUAGCACGUGAAAUUGUUGAAAGGGAAGCGCUUGUGACCAGACUUGCGCCGGGCGGAUCAUCCGGUGUUCUCACCGGUGCACUCCGCCCGGCUCAGGCCAGCAUCGGUUCUCGCGGGGGGAUAAAGGCCCUGGGAACGUAGCUCCUCCGGGAGUGUUAUAGCCCAGGGUGUAAUGCCCUCGCGGGGACCGAGGUUCGCGCAUCUGCAAGGAUGCUGGCGUAAUGGUCAUCAGCGACCCGUCUUGAAACACGGACC
RNAcentral lists this small RNA (604 nucleotides) under Papulaspora sp. Kw207/12. RNAcentral's name for it is "eukaryotic LSU rRNA". It matches the Rfam family "Eukaryotic large subunit ribosomal RNA", at positions 38 to 667 of the family's 3401-position model. Lineage: Eukaryota; Fungi; Ascomycota; Sordariomycetes; Sordariales. The record is from RNAcentral.